AACGAACGCUGGCGGCGUGCCUAACACAUGCAAGUCGUGCGAGAAAGUUUCCUUCGGGGAGCGAGUAAAGCGGCGCACGGGUGAGUAACACGUAGGUAACCUACCUUUCAGUCCGGAAUAACCAGCUGAAAAGCUGGCUAAUGCCGGGUAAGACCACGAUCUCUGCGGGGAUCGCGGCCAAAGGCGGCCUCUUCAUGAAAGCUGAU
RNAcentral lists this ribosomal RNA (206 nucleotides) under uncultured bacterium. Its description in RNAcentral is "partial 16S ribosomal RNA". It matches the Rfam family "Bacterial small subunit ribosomal RNA", at positions 29 to 229 of the family's 1533-position model. The record is from RNAcentral.